RNAcentral lists this ribosomal RNA (253 nucleotides) under uncultured bacterium. RNAcentral's name for it is "partial 16S ribosomal RNA". It matches the Rfam family "Bacterial small subunit ribosomal RNA", at positions 524 to 776 of the family's 1533-position model. The record is from RNAcentral.
UACGUAGGGGGCUAGCGUUGUCCGGAAUCAUUGGGCGUAAAGCGCGUGUAGGCGGCUAUCCAAGUCAGGCGUGAAAGCCCCGGGCUUAACCUGGGAGGUGCGUCUGGGACUGGGUGGCUAGAGUUCGGGAGAGGAGAGUGGAAUUCCCAGUGUAGAGGUGAAAUUCGUAGAUAUUGGGAAGAACACCGGUGGCGAAGGCGGCUCUCUGGACCGAGACUGACGCUGAGGCGCGAAAGCGUGGGGAGCAAACAGG